UUCGAUUUUGAAGUGAAGUGAACUCCACCCGAACCCAUUUCGAACUCGAUUGUGACCUCAUUUCACGCCAUAUGUACUGCACUGCUGUGGGAGACGUGGUAAAAGUCGGGAACUUCCCUCCU
RNAcentral lists this ribosomal RNA (122 nucleotides) under Botryococcus braunii. The record is from RNAcentral. Lineage: Eukaryota; Viridiplantae; Chlorophyta; Trebouxiophyceae.